RNAcentral lists this ribosomal RNA (1916 nucleotides) under Escherichia coli. RNAcentral describes it as "bacterial LSU rRNA". It matches the Rfam family "Bacterial large subunit ribosomal RNA", at positions 308 to 2212 of the family's 2925-position model. The record is from RNAcentral. Lineage: Bacteria; Pseudomonadati; Pseudomonadota; Gammaproteobacteria; Enterobacterales; Enterobacteriaceae.
GCCUGAAUCAGUGUGUGUGUUAGUGGAAGCGUCUGGAAAGACGCGCGAUACAGGGUGACAGCCCCGUACACAAAAAUGCACAUGCUGUGAGCUCGAUGAGUAGGGCGGGACACGUGGUAUCCUGUCUGAAUAUGGGGGGACCAUCCUCCAAGGCUAAAUACUCCUGACUGACCGAUAGUGAACCAGUACCGUGAGGGAAAGGCGAAAAGAACCCCGGCGAGGGGAGUGAAAAAGAACCUGAAACCGUGUACGUACAAGCAGUGGGAGCACAGAGCAAUCUGUGUGACUGCGUACCUUUUGUAUAAUGGGUCAGCGACUUAUAUUCUGUAGCAAGGUUAACCGAAUAGGGGAGCCGAAGGGAAACCGAGUCUUAACUGGGCGUUAAGUUGCAGGGUAUAGACCCGAAACCCGGUGAUCUAGCCAUGGGCAGGUUGAAGGUUGGGUAACACUAACUGGAGGACCGAACCGACUAAUGUUGAAAAAUUAGCGGAUGACUUGUGGCUGGGGGUGAAAGGCCAAUCAAACCGGGAGAUAGCUGGUUCUCCCCGAAAGCUAUUUAGGUAGCGCCUCGUGAAUUCAUCUCCGGGGGUAGAGCACUGUUUCGGCAAGGGGGUCAUCCCGACUUACCAACCCGAUGCAAACUGCGAAUACCGGAGAAUGUUAUCACGGGAGACACACGGCGGGUGCUAACGUCCGUCGUGAAGAGGGAAACAACCCAGACCGCCAGCUAAGGUCCCAAAGUCAUGGUUAAGUGGGAAACGAUGUGGGAAGGCCCAGACAGCCAGGAUGUUGGCUUAGAAGCAGCCAUCAUUUAAAGAAAGCGUAAUAGCUCACUGGUCGAGUCGGCCUGCGCGGAAGAUGUAACGGGGCUAAACCAUGCACCGAAGCUGCGGCAGCGACGCUUAUGCGUUGUUGGGUAGGGGAGCGUUCUGUAAGCCUGUGAAGGUGUACUGUGAGGUAUGCUGGAGGUAUCAGAAGUGCGAAUGCUGACAUAAGUAACGAUAAAGCGGGUGAAAAGCCCGCUCGCCGGAAGACCAAGGGUUCCUGUCCAACGUUAAUCGGGGCAGGGUGAGUCGACCCCUAAGGCGAGGCCGAAAGGCGUAGUCGAUGGGAAACAGGUUAAUAUUCCUGUACUUGGUGUUACUGCGAAGGGGGGACGGAGAAGGCUAUGUUGGCCGGGCGACGGUUGUCCCGGUUUAAGCGUGUAGGCUGGUUUUCCAGGCAAAUCCGGAAAAUCAAGGCUGAGGCGUGAUGACGAGGCACUACGGUGCUGAAGCAACAAAUGCCCUGCUUCCAGGAAAAGCCUCUAAGCAUCAGGUAACAUCAAAUCGUACCCCAAACCGACACAGGUGGUCAGGUAGAGAAUACCAAGGCGCUUGAGAGAACUCGGGUGAAGGAACUAGGCAAAAUGGUGCCGUAACUUCGGGAGAAGGCACGCUGAUAUGUAGGUGAAGUCCCUCGCGGAUGGAGCUGAAAUCAGUCGAAGAUACCAGCUGGCUGCAACUGUUUAUUAAAAACACAGCACUGUGCAAACACGAAAGUGGACGUAUACGGUGUGACGCCUGCCCGGUGCCGGAAGGUUAAUUGAUGGGGUUAGCGCAAGCGAAGCUCUUGAUCGAAGCCCCGGUAAACGGCGGCCGUAACUAUAACGGUCCUAAGGUAGCGAAAUUCCUUGUCGGGUAAGUUCCGACCUGCACGAAUGGCGUAAUGAUGGCCAGGCUGUCUCCACCCGAGACUCAGUGAAAUUGAACUCGCUGUGAAGAUGCAGUGUACCCGCGGCAAGACGGAAAGACCCCGUGAACCUUUACUAUAGCUUGACACUGAACAUUGAGCCUUGAUGUGUAGGAUAGGUGGGAGGCUUUGAAGUGUGGACGCCAGUCUGCAUGGAGCCGACCUUGAAAUACCACCCUUUAAUG